Long non-coding RNA from Maniola jurtina (meadow brown), 141 nucleotides. RefSeq lists it as uncharacterized. The transcript is spliced from 3 exons. The record is from RefSeq and is a predicted model, not a curated record. Lineage: Eukaryota; Metazoa; Arthropoda; Insecta; Lepidoptera; Nymphalidae.
UUUGCCUAUUUCAAAAAUAAAUUCUUUCUUAGGAUUUAUUAUAUAGAAAGUCUUCCAAAAUACGUAAAAUCCACGUCGUUCGUUAGUUUUCAGAGUAAUAACCAUUUAAAAAUAUCGAUUAAACUAAUAAAAGCAUGUCAA